GAUGGGCGUGGUGACGUGCUCCUGUAAUCUAGCUACUUGGUGGCCAGGGUGCGGGAUUUCGUGGGACCGGGAGUUCUGGCAUAUGGGUGCUCAUGUUGAUCGGGCGUCCACGUUAAGCACGGCGCCGAUAUGGAUGACCUAUCGGAGGGUGGGUUGUCCAGGUCGUCUAAGGAGGGGUGGACUGGCCCGGGGGGAAACCCAGAGGGCAAAAGUCCCUGUGUGGUGCGGUAGCGAGGUAGCGCCUGUGAAUUGUGUCCAUCUGACAGCCCAGCGUGAAGACCGCCUCCUUU
RNAcentral lists this signal recognition particle RNA (290 nucleotides) under Schistosoma curassoni. RNAcentral's name for it is "Metazoan signal recognition particle RNA". It matches the Rfam family "Metazoan signal recognition particle RNA". From Rfam's summary of the family: The signal recognition particle (SRP) is a universally conserved ribonucleoprotein. Lineage: Eukaryota; Metazoa; Platyhelminthes; Trematoda; Strigeidida; Schistosomatidae. The record is from Rfam by way of RNAcentral.